This 258-nucleotide ribosomal RNA is filed under the name uncultured bacterium. RNAcentral's name for it is "partial 16S ribosomal RNA". It matches the Rfam family "Bacterial small subunit ribosomal RNA", at positions 524 to 777 of the family's 1533-position model. The record is from RNAcentral.
UACGGAGGGUGCGAGCGUUGUCCGGAAAUCAUUGGGCGUAAAGGGCGCGUAGGUGGCCCGCUCAGCGUGCGGUGAAAAGCUCGGGGCUCAACCCCGAGUCGGCCGUGCGAACUGGUGGGCUGGAGCACUGUAGAGGCAGGCGGAAAUUCCGGGUGUAGCGGUGGAAUGCGUAGAGAUCCGGAAGAACACCGGUGGCGAAGGCGGCCUGCUGGGCAGUUGCUGACACUGAGGCGCGGACAACGUGGGGAGCAAACAGGG